AGAAUUGUGAUUGCUUGCAAGGUAUUUUCGUUUCCUAUUCUAUUCUAAAUGUCUCACUGAUCCACUUCAAGAAACUGGAUGAUCUGAGAUUUGAAUUUCGCCAAUUCUUUUGCUAUAUUGAGUACGAAAGGAUCUUUCUGUGUGAAUUCUGCUGUACUUUUGGUAUGUUCAUCAUUCAUAAAUGAAGAUUUUCAGAAUCGCGUAGUUUAUAUUAAAGUGCCA
RNAcentral lists this unclassified non-coding RNA (222 nucleotides) under Hevea brasiliensis (rubber tree). The record is from RNAcentral. Lineage: Eukaryota; Viridiplantae; Streptophyta; Magnoliopsida; Malpighiales; Euphorbiaceae.